Molecule: long non-coding RNA, 274 nt
Organism: Platichthys flesus (European flounder)
Lineage: Eukaryota; Metazoa; Chordata; Actinopteri; Pleuronectiformes; Pleuronectidae
Exons: 3
Source: RefSeq, a predicted model, not a curated record
GACCAUAGAUAUAUAUAAAGACUAGAUGUCUUCCGGCGGAGUCUAGAACGUCAUCACUGGCGGCCAUCUUGCCACAGGCAGGCUUUCUGGAAGGAUCUGUGGUACCUGAGGGAGGGUUCCUCUCUGUCCUGGGCUACAUCAUAAACAUUGACACGUUGCUGGCGAUGGUUCCUGUGCUGAUUGAAGGACAGCGAUAUGUCUUGACCUACAGAUUCAGCAAGGACCACUUGGAACUGCUCUUUAACUCCAUCAGAGCAUCCGGUGGCUGGAAUAA